Bos taurus (domestic cattle) is the source of this 1565-nucleotide long non-coding RNA. The record is from Ensembl. Lineage: Eukaryota; Metazoa; Chordata; Mammalia; Artiodactyla; Bovidae.
UCCAGGGGCAUAUAACCCCUUCAUCAGUCAGAGCCAUUAUGUUUCAUUCACUGUCAACUUUGAUUUUGUAAGGGGACAUUCUCUGGGACUCAGAGCUCCACCCUGCUUGGUUGCCCCUUGUCCUUCAGUUCAUUCUAGACCCUGGUGGCUUUUUCUCUACUUUCUAAUUUGUCUUCUUCCUGGGGGCUUGAAGGAUAAAAGGAGGUAGAUAUGGGCAGAAGAUGGAAGAUUUCAGCGGUGAACAGGGACAGAAAGGAAGAGGAGAGAAAUGCACAGGGUAGAGAAAUGCAUGAUGUGAGGAACACGCAAAGGAAGAGAAAAUUCAUGCAGGAUGGGGGCAGGGGAGGAAUCGGGGUGAUUCAUGAAAAAUUGGGAGAAUGAAACAAAGUAUGAGUUAAUAAAUAAUGAUACAGAAGGAGACAGGGAGAGAAAGGAUAGACUAUUUCUCAAGAGGAAGGUCAACAGAAAAAGCAAUAUGAAAUGAAUAAAUACAGUGUUAAGGUGGGGGAAGGGAGGAACUAAAGAAUAAGAUGAGGUGGGAAAACAUGGUACAAAGAAGGGGAAUGGAAGGCAAAAAGAGGACUGCUGAAGCAGAUCAGAGCUGCACGGAGCUUGGUACGGAAGAGGAGAGGAUGAGGUAUCAAAGGAAACAAAUGCCUCUGGAGUGAGAAGGACACAGCAUGAUGGAUGCAAAGAGAGCGCCGCAGGAGGGGCAAUUUGGAAAAAAGGCAGAGCAGAAAUACCAUUGGGCGAAUCCCCAAAAGAGAGGGAUGCCAGAGGAGAGGAGAGGAAAUGCAAAGAUAUCUGGUGAAGAGGAGAGAUUUGGCUCAUUCUGUUGGCCAAAUUCUUCACUAAGCUACUGGAGGCCUUUGCAUUUCAUUCCCAAGCCAGGGCAACAGUGAGCACAGAGAUUAAAAAAACACUAGAAAUUCCCAUUUACUUUAACUGAUAGGAACUGGAAUCUUUCUAGCCCCUGAGCACCAAAGACCUACAGCCUCUGAUGUCAUAAAUUGCUGGUGUUGCCUUGGCAACCUGACAGGGUUCCUCCCUCCAUGAUGUCAGAGCAGCGGGUGUUACCUUAAAACCCACAGAGGAACAACUUGCUGCUUUGCUGGGGAUCUGUACACAUAUUGGCGAGGGCCAUAGUCAAAUCUGUAGGAUUCCUAGGUUGGUAGCUUGACCUUGCCUCCCUGCAGCUAUUCUUAGCUCUAAAUGAAGUCUUGUUUGUGGGCACCUGAGGUUCACUAGAGCCUGCAGGAGCAAAAGGAAACAUCUCAGGAGACCGGGGCAUUGAGGAUGGGAUGGUAGGACUGAAAGACAGGCAAAGAAGGAAGAGAGUGGAAAUGGGCAGUUACAGAAUGUGAAAGGAGAAGGGCUUUGUGAGCAGGAAGGAGAGUUACUAAAAAUUUAAGAUGUAGCUCGCUUUGGGCUUUGGGUUUAGGAAUAGACACGAAGCUGGAAAUGCAGAUUAGAGGGGAUAGGAGCCAUGUGAGAGCCGUGUGAAGCAGAGAUACAGAAAAAGGAAGGAUCUUGAAUGGAACUUGGCUGUGAAGGUAAAAGUGGGG